GAUGAACGCUGGCGGCGUGCCUAAUACAUGCAAGUCGAGCGAACAGACGAGGAGCUUGCUCCUCUGACGUUAGCGGCGGACGGGUGAGUAACACGUGGAUAACCUACCUAUAAGACUGGGAUAACUUCGGGAAACCGGAUCUAAUACCGGAUAAUAUAUUGAACCGCAUGGUUCAAUAGUGAAAUACGGUUUUUCUGUCACUUAUAGAUGGAUCCGCGCCGCAUUAGCUAGUUGGUAAGGUAACGGCUUACCAAGGCAACGAUGCGUAGCCGACCUGAGAGGGUGAUCGGCCACACUGGAACUGAGACACGGUCCAGACUCCUACGGGAGGCAGCAGUAGGGAAUCUUCCGCAAUGGGCGAAAGCUUGACGGAGCAACGCCGCGCGAGUGACGAAGGUCUUCGGAUCGUAAAACUCUGUUAUUAGGGAAGAACAAAUGUGUAAGUAACUAUGCACGUCUUGACGGUACCUAAUCAGAAAGCAACGGCUAACUACGUG
RNAcentral lists this ribosomal RNA (497 nucleotides) under uncultured bacterium. Its description in RNAcentral is "partial 16S ribosomal RNA". It matches the Rfam family "Bacterial small subunit ribosomal RNA", at positions 28 to 507 of the family's 1533-position model. The record is from RNAcentral.